AGUUUGAUCCUGGCUCAGGAUGAACGCUAGCGACAGGCUUAACACAUGCAAGUCGAGGGGCAGCGAGGGAGUGGCAACACUUCUGUCGGCGACCGGCGCACGGGUGAGUAACGCGUAUGCAACCUACCCUUCACAGGGGGAUAACCGGGAGAAAUUCCGACUAAUACCGCAUACGUCCUCCGGGGGCAUCCCCGGGGGAUGAAAGAGUUAUCGGUGAAGGAUGGGCAUGCGUGAUAUUAGGUAGUUGGCGGGGCAACGGCCCACCAAGCCCACGAUAUCUAGGGGUUCUGAGAGGAAGGUCCCCCACAUUGGUACUGAGACACGGACCAAACUCCUACGGGAGGCAGCAGUGAGGAAUAUUGGUCAAUGGACGAGAGUCUGAACCAGCCAAGUCGCGUGAAGGAUGAAGGUCCUACGGAUUGUAAACUUCUUUUAUAAGGGAAUAAACCCUCCCACGUGUGGGAGCUUGUAUGCACCUUAUGAAUAAGCAUCGGCUAACUCCGUGCCAGCAGCCGCGGUAAUACGGAGGAUGCGAGCGUUAUCCGGAUUUAUUGGGUUUAAAGGGUGCGUAGGUGGUGAUUUAAGUCAGCGGUGAAAGUUUGUGGCUCAACCAUAAAAUUGCCGUUGAAACUGGGUUACUUGAGUGUGUUUGAGGUAGGCGGAAUGCGUGGUGUAGCGGUGAAAUGCAUAGAUAUCACGCAGAACUCCGAUUGCGAAGGCAGCUUACUAAACCAUAACUGACACUGAAGCACGAAAGCGUGGGGAUCAAACAGGAUUAGAUACCCUGGUAGUCCACGCAGUAAACGAUGAUUACUAGGAGUUUGCGAUACAAUGUAAGCUCUACAGCGAAAGCGUUAAGUAAUCCACCUGGGGAGUACGACCGCAAGGUUGAAACUCAAAGGAAUUGACGGGGGCCCGCACAAGCAGUGGAGUAUGUGGAUUAAUUCGAAGCAACGCGAAGAACCUUACCAGGUCUUGACAUCGUAUGCAUAGCUCAGAGAUGAGUGAAAUCUCUUCGGAGACAUAUAGACAGGUGGUGCAUGGUUGUCGUCAGCUCGUGUCGUGAGAUGUUGGGUUAAGUCCCGCAACGAGCGCAACCCUUACUGUUAGUUGCUACGCAAGAGCACUCUAGCAGGACUGCCGUUGACAAAACGGAGGAAGGUGGGGAUGACGUCAAAUCAUCAUGCCCCUUAUGACCUGGGCCUCACACGUACUACAAUGGCUGUUAACAGAGGGAUGCAAAGCCGCGAGGUGGAGCGAACCCCUAAAAGCAGUCUUAGUUCGGAUUGUAGGCUGCAACCCGCCUACAUGAAGUCGGAAUUGCUAGUAAUCGCAGAUCAGCAUGCUGCGGUGAAUACGUUCCCGGGCCUUGCACACACCGCCCGUCAAG
Molecule: ribosomal RNA, 1390 nt
Filed under: uncultured bacterium
Lineage: Bacteria
Description: partial 16S ribosomal RNA
Rfam family: Bacterial small subunit ribosomal RNA
Source: RNAcentral